UAUAGAUAGGAGAAUGGGGAACACCCAGGAAUGUUUAGCUAACUCGCCUGCAACAUUCAAGCGCGUGUGUCAAAGGUGUUUGCGGGGUGUUGACACCUCCACAUAGAGAGGUAGUAAGGUGAAUGACAUCACCAGUGGGCUGCUUGUGAUGAGUACUCCGUGUGUUUCACGGACCCAACGAAAAAAGGCACAACACUCAGAAAUAUCCCAAAACUAGGCUGUCUUGCAGUACUCAGCAGUGGGCUCCAAAAUGCUGAAAUACAAUGUUGAAAUGUCUAUUUCACUUUCGCGGCUCCUCCCAUUGUAGAAGAGGGAUCAGGCGUUAUCCCCCACCCUAACCCCCGCCCGCUGUUUAUCGAAGAGAGAGGGAUUCAAGACUUAAACGACAGCACAUGCUAAGGUGAACCUUAGCCACCGAGACACACAGGCGAUAACCCAUUCAAUCAAACAACAACAUCAUGGCAGGCAGUAUGUAGGCAGAUAAAUGACGAUACAGUACGGUGUUCAAUGGGAAUUAAAAGUAUAGGGCAGCUGGGCUCUUAUCUGGCCAGAGCGAUGAAACCCGGCAACAAAGGGAGGCCUAAGACUAAGAGGCUUGAUGCAUGGGAAAGCCAUCGGCCAGCCAUUGUGGCUGCCCUUCUGCUGAGCAAAUAGUCCAAACUGUUCAUUCCCCAUCUCCCAUUCUCUCUGAGGUACAUUGUUUGUGUCCUUGCAUUUCAUUCUGACUGGGGAAGAUUGCUCUCAGGGCCAGUGAGCAAACAGUCCAGAAAAGAGCCGGCUAUCUCCUGACGUUCCCAGGAGAACUAGCAUUUUUAUUUCAGCUCCAAGCUGUCAAAGGAUUGGAGAGUUUGUGUCAGGAUCCUGAAUUAAUUGCUUUAAGCUGUGUGCGUGGGGGGGGACUGCAUUUUAUCACCAAAUGUUCAGUAAAAUGUUUCCUAGCAAUUAUGCACCCCUGCCCUGCAACGUAGGCUUUCAGUCACCAAACAUUUGGUGUUGGAUACAUACAGGAUGGAUUUCUGAAACUCAAAUGAUGCAUUUAGCUGUAAUGGCAGCACAAUGGUAUGAAUAGUGACAGGCCAGCGUCUGUCAAGGAUUUGUUGGUAUGGGAGUGAAUUGAAAAGUUUGUUCUUUUUUCUAUAAUAAUGAUAGGUACACGAGCCAGGCUUGGCAGAGAAUUGACCAAGCUUCCUCCAUAAAGUAUAUCUGGUCAGACAUUUGGUGGAACGGGAUAUAGAGUCUGGAACCUCUGACAGAACAGCUAACGUGAACUUAGAACCAUCUGUCACUCACAAAAUCAUCCCAAAUCACCGCUUACUUAGCAGCUAUAUAUUAGACAUUUUGGAUAUGUGACACUGCCAUAUCUGUUAGCUAACUACGCGCAGCUUCUAAUGCCAGAGACACCAAACCAGACAACUGUUCCUAUUUUGCCCUACCAAUUUGUCUAUCAUUAGAAAUAUCUUGAAUUAUGGUACAAAUGUCAUACAACGCCACACUGAUUAUGGCAACAAAAUUGUACGAUCGUUGAUUUUAUAGUUCAAGUCUAAUCAUGAAAACUAAAACAUACUCUUAUUCAAACCUGGUAUGCAUUUGCAUCUUAAACGCAUUAGCAAUAUUUGACUGUACCACAUGAUACUAUAGCAUUUGUAUGGAUUAGUUGUUUAGAAACUAUUAUCAAUCAGCUCACUGCCUCAAAGAGUUCAUCAUUUAAGUAAUGCUUUGCUUUGCAUGUUAACCCCACCUGAAAUUUGCAUCAAUAUAGUAACGCAACAGUCUCUGGAAUAAUGACCUCAAACAAGUCCAAACACACAGCUGCAGUAACUGUAACCAAUAUUUUCCAGAACAAUAUCAAAGGUGUGUUGCAACAACACACUGAAGAAACCAGAAAUAACAUUGCAUCCAUACAUUUUUUUUCUCUCUCUUUUGGUAUAAUCUGUUCAAUGCCACUAUUGCACAUGGGAAAAUAAAGGUAUCUGAUCAUGACACA
This 1984-nucleotide long non-coding RNA is filed under the name Salmo salar (Atlantic salmon). Its description in RNAcentral is "lncRNA (ENSSSAG00000103960.1)". The record is from RNAcentral. Lineage: Eukaryota; Metazoa; Chordata; Actinopteri; Salmoniformes; Salmonidae.